CUGGGGCGCAGUGCAAUAUCUGAAGGGCGAUUUAUUUCUCUGACAGUUUUGGAGCUGAGAGCGCUGCUGCGGGCACUGAGUCCACAUCCAUGGGUGGUGGCCCAACACUCCCACCCCCAGUGCUGAGAAAUGCCAAAGCCCCGCACGCCCCGCAGCGAUACGGAGAGGGCUAACAGCUGUUUCCAAAACAAACGCUGGUGAUGAGCAGACAGAAUCACGGCCGCUGGGACAAAGUCGCUGUUGUUGCACCGGGGCUGUGCCCAUUCAGCUCCAUGGGCUCAAAGCACGUGCAGGGAGCUCAUGGGAGGAGUGAGGUCUGCGAUGGGAUUCUUCCAUACAAACGUUAUUUUUGUGCACAACCGCGUCAUGAAGCCAAGAUGGCCUCAAGUAUGUACCGUGCCUUACAGAAUGGAUCUAAUUCUGCUUUCAGCUUUCCAAUGCAGUGAAGUCUGCCUGGGUGACAUUCACCUUCUCAGCACGCAGAUGGGCAGCACCAGUUCCGAAAGCGAUGGCCUCGCCGGGAGGAUGUUUACCUUCCCAAGCCGCCUUCUCCUUACAUUUAAACAAAAACGUUUCCUUUUCUAAACAGUUUACAUUUCUGAUUCCAGAGGUAUCCUGCUUGCCAAAACCGCCAGUAUUUGUCUCACUUUAAAUGCAUUUAUAUGCUAAUGCAGACAGUCCCUCCUGCUCGCACACUUACCACACACAACUCUGUAGAAAUUACUCUUUUCCUGCUAGAUUUACAAAGUAUGGCCAUCAAACCUCCUUUCGAUUCAUGUGCAUUGACUGCAACCCUGCAGUGCUGAUGGUGCUGUGAUGUGGUGGUGAAGUACAGCUCUGGGUGACCCAUUGGAUCUGUGGAGCGAUGCUGCAUUUGGAGGAGAGGGAGGAAGGAGACAUAAUAGCAGGGAUAUGGUUCUGGGAUGGCUGGACAGCAGCACUCCCGUUUAUGUUACCUUUGGGAUCAUCAUUUAUCUUUCCUUAUCCCCCACCCCUAUUAUUGCCCCAUACAAACAUGUCAGUUUGUUUAACUUCUUGAAAACUACGAAGAGAUUUUGCUUCUAGAAUACCCAAAUCUUUCAUUUUGACAGUCCUGUUCUGCAUUAAGGCCAUAUUAUAAUUGACACAGCAGAGGAAGAUUAAUUGUUUGGGUUGCAACGCACGGACAGAUGUUGGCUUUCUGUCUAAAUUUGGGACAAUCAUUCUCAUGAGGAACCUCAGAACUUCUCACACAACGGAAACUCCAUUUUUCAGCCAGCCACAAUUGUAAUGCCAUUGCACCACUAUUAGUCUUGAAAGGAAGUUUAAAAAAACUCAGAUUACUCACUAAGAUCUAAAGAACAAUGUCAUUCUUAAACCACCUUUCUUCCUUUCAAGUUUUCAGGACUGAAAGCUGACACUGGGAGGGGGAGAACUCUGACUCAUAGCAGGCAGGUUGGACGGCAUGCCAGAUCAGCCAGGGCCCAGCAAAGCUCUGCGUUAUUCUGGAAAAUAACGAUGGAAAAUUCAUUUAAGAGUCGUAUAUGGCUUUGCCGGGGUGGAGGAGGGAAGGGGCAAAUUUAAUUCAGGCCCAGAACUCCCCUCAAACGGAUGCUGGAUGUAAACUUUAGCUGCGUUUCUGUCAGCCUUAAUGGAUUUCACUUAUGGGAACUAUAAUAAACAGCUCAUUAUGGAGUCAGCUGCGGGAGCGUUUUGAGCCCAACAGGGUCAUUUGUUUUCCAAGGCAGAUUUAGUCUAAAGGGGGUGGACAGAAUAAUCCCGCGUUCAAAGUGUCUGCAUUAGCGCUGGAGGAGCGGUGACGAAGUGGCAUUGGGUCCAAAGCAAUGGCUGCUCUUUGCCCAAGCACAGCAAGAGCGCAGGGCCGUCUUGGUGCUCACUGAGCACAGCUCAGGGAACGCUCAUUGCUUCUUCAAAUGUUCCUGUUAACAGCACUUUAAAAAAAAAAUAAAAAAAUCAACCAUAAAUUCAGCCCAGAAACCAUCCUGGCUAAUAACGCCGAGGCUGGAACUUGUAAAUGCCAUCACAGCUGCAGCUGUUGUUGUUGUGAACACUUUGAAAGCCGCUGCUUUCUUUGCUGGAAUAAUGAUCUGCACUGUGUGAUGACCCUCGAAACGUAACAGUGCUGAGAGAUAACAGAGGAGCUGGGUGCUCGGGGAAAACAAUUUGCUGUGAGAAAAACAGCCUGAGUCUUCAUUACAUUGGCUCUGAGUCCUAUUCCUGAAGAUGCUGUUGAUGCUCUGCGCUCUUUUGAGGUUGGCCUCAUCAUUUCUUGUCCAUUCA
This is a non-coding RNA of Meleagris gallopavo (turkey), 2280 nucleotides long. NCBI's taxonomy places the organism in Eukaryota, Metazoa, Chordata, Aves, Galliformes, Phasianidae. The record is from RefSeq and is a predicted model, not a curated record.